RNAcentral lists this ribosomal RNA (497 nucleotides) under uncultured bacterium. RNAcentral describes it as "partial 16S ribosomal RNA". It matches the Rfam family "Bacterial small subunit ribosomal RNA", at positions 28 to 507 of the family's 1533-position model. The record is from RNAcentral.
GAUGAACGCUGGCGGCGUGCCUAAUACAUGCAAGUCGAGCGAACGGACGAGAAGCUUGCUUCUCUGAUGUUAGCGGCGGACGGGUGAGUAACACGUGGAUAACCUACCUAUAAGACUGGGAUAACUUCGGGAAACCGUAGCUAAUACCGGAUAAUAUUUUGAACCGCAUGGUUCAAAAGUGAAAGACGGUCUUGCUGUCACUUAUAGAUGGAUCCGCGCUGCAUUAGCUAGUUGGUAAGGUAACGGCUUACCAAGGCAACGAUGCAUAGCCGACCUGAGAGGGUGAUCGGCCACACUGGAACUGAGACACGGUCCAGACUCCUACGGGAGGCAGCAGUAGAGAAUCUUCCGCAAUGGGCGAAAGCCUGACGGAGCAACGCCGCGUGAGUGAUGAAGGUCUUCGGAUCGUAAAACUCUGUUAUUAGGGAAGAACAUAUGUGUAAGUAACUGUGCACAUCUUGACGGUACCUAAUCAGAAAGACACGGCUAACUCCGUG